GAUGAACGCUAGCGGAAGGCUUAAUACAUGCAAGUCGAGCGGUAGGUGGCUUCGGCCAUUGAGAGCGGCGCACGGGUGAGUAACGCGUACAUGACCUGCCUGUCAGAAGGGGAUAGCCCUGGGAAACUGGGAUUAAUACCCUAUGGUAUUGAUAUUAUGAAUGAUAUCAAUUAAAGUUGAGGCGCUGACAGAUGGAUGUGCGUCUGAUUAGCUAGUUGGUAGGGUAACGGCCUACCAAGGCGACGAUCAGUAGGGGGCGUGAGAGCGUGGUCCCCCACACGGGUACUGAGACACGGACCCGACUCCUACGGGAGGCAGCAGUAAGGAAUAUUGGUCAAUGCCCGCAAGGGUGAACCAGCCAUUCCGCGUGGAGGAUGAAGGCCCUAUGGGUUGUAAACUUCUUUUAGAUGGGAAGAAAUGCUAGAUGUAUCUGGUACUGACGGUACCAUCAGAAUAAGCACCGGCCUAACUCCGUGCCAGCAGCCGCGGU
This 490-nucleotide ribosomal RNA is filed under the name uncultured bacterium. Its description in RNAcentral is "bacterial SSU rRNA". It matches the Rfam family "Bacterial small subunit ribosomal RNA", at positions 28 to 521 of the family's 1533-position model. The record is from RNAcentral.